Long non-coding RNA from Engraulis encrasicolus (European anchovy), 827 nucleotides. RefSeq lists it as uncharacterized. The transcript has 5 exons. The record is from RefSeq and is a predicted model, not a curated record. NCBI's taxonomy places the organism in Eukaryota, Metazoa, Chordata, Actinopteri, Clupeiformes, Engraulidae.
AAUAGGAAAGAGUUGUGUAUAUCCCAUUGGCAUACGUGGGCAAGGGGCGGGGUCUAUUUUCCGUGUCAUGGCUCCUCCCUGUAGACUUCAAGAAGUUCCAUAUCCGGAAGUGGGCCCCGUAGACUUUCGUUUGACUGUCGACACCUUUCUCGGUGUGUCAUAUUCACUCAUCAUUGACUGAUGACCCCUGAACAGAUUUCCGGCCCUUCUUCAUACAGCUUGUCUUCCACCUUCACAGUCAUGGUGUGUCAUAUUCACUCAUCAUUGACUGAUGACCCCUGAACAGAUUUCCGGCCCUUCUUCAUACAGCUUGUCUUCCACCUUCACAGUCAUGCUGUGUCAUAUUCACUCAUCAUUGACUGAUGACCCCUGAACAGAUUUCCGGCCCUUCUUCAUACACCUUGUCUUCCACCUUCACAGUCAUGGCACAACACUCAGGAGUGCUGUGAGUUGCAUGACACCUGCAGAGGCUCCAUACUACAGACUACUACUACUCGGUACUACAGAAACCGGAUCACUUGACAAGCCUGUGUCCUGUUUUGGCCUUCCACACUCUGUAGGAUUGCAUAGGCUCCAUUUCUUCUCCCACAUCACCAUUCCAAAACAACUCCAGAUGUUUCGUUUGUAUUAUGGCCAGUUUCUUUACAUCUGUUACACUACCUGUGUUUUGCACCCAAAACUGGACUGCUCUAUCUGUUUCUUGUUUUUUAUCAUUAUCACUUGCAUUGCUGUAAAUAUGUUCCAUUAGCUCAGUUUUGCAACUAUGAAGUGUACAGUUUUGUUGUUGUAUUACUGUUACGCUGAGCAAAAAGAAACCUCAAACCUUA